RNAcentral lists this long non-coding RNA (345 nucleotides) under Homo sapiens (human). RNAcentral describes it as "HSALNT0320647". Lineage: Eukaryota; Metazoa; Chordata; Mammalia; Primates; Hominidae. The record is from RNAcentral.
ACUCUCCCUGCCGUCGCCGCCCGGGACCGGGUGACAUUGAGGUUUUCGUCUAUCGCCGCUGGGCCGAUAGGGCUUCUUUUUAAGAUUUGGCUUUCCAAGUAAGAUUUUUGUUUGCCUGCUUUUCUCCUGGAAUUUUUUUGUUUUUGGUCGAAGAAGCAGGUAACUUGCAUAUCUUAAGGAAAACAUUGUUUUUGCUUUGCUUUUGUUGUUUAAAGAUCCUAAAACGUACCGUGAUUCCUUUACGUUACUAAUAAUUGGAAAGUGUGUUAAAUCAAGGGUUCGCUUAAUGUUCUUUAGCCUUUGUACAUAGAAUAUAUAAAUGUCGUGAGUCAUCUUUACGAGGUU